AUAAGUAAUAGUAAGAGCAUAUAAUGGAUGCCUUGGAUUUGAGAGGCGAUGAAGGACGUAAAUAAUCAACGAUAAGUUGCGGGUAUUAGUUAAAUAAAUAAAAUGAUCCGCAAAUUUCCGAAUGGGAUAACCUGUUAUAUUGAAGAUAUAACAUUAUUUAAUUAAUUUUAAAUAAGGCAAACUUAGGGAACUGAAACAUCUUAGUACCUAAAGGAAAAUAAAACAAAAGUGAUUUCGUUAGUAGUGGCGAGCGAAAGCGAAAAAGUCUAAACUAUAAUUGUGUAUAUCGCUUUUAUAGGGUUAUAGGGUUAUAAAUAAUAUUUAAAUAUAAUAUUUAUUAAUAUUAGAAAUAUUUGGAAAAAUAUACCAAAGAUGGUGAUAGUCCAGUAUAUUAAAUUAAUUUUUAUUAUAUAUUAUAAUACCUAAGUAAAACGAGACACGAGAAAUCUUGUUUGAAUUUGCCAGGACCAUCUGGUAAGACUAAAUACUACUCAAAUACCGAUAGUGAACUAGUACCGUGAGGGAAAGGUGAAAAGAAUUUCUAUAAGAAAUGUGAAAUAGAACCUGAAAUUAUAUGCUUACAAUCAGUCGGAGCUUUUAUUAUUUAUAAUAUAAAGUGACGGCAUGCCUUUUGCAUAAUGAACCUACGAGUUAAUUUUUCUGGCUAGGUUAAAUAAUUAAGUUAUGGAGCCAUAGCGAAAGCGAGUUUUAAAAAGCGUAAGUCAGAGGAAUUAGACGCGAAACCGAGUGAUCUAUCCAUGAGCAAGUUGAAGCUAUGGUAAAACAUAGUGGAGGACUGAACCGGUAGAUGUUGAAAAAUCUUCGGAUGACUUGUGGAUUGGAGUGAAAGGCUAAUCAAACUCGGAGAUAGCUCGUACUCCUCGAAAUGCAUUUAGGUGCAGCGUUAUGUUAUAAUAUUAUAUAGGUAGAGCUACUAAUUUGAUAAAGGGGUGUCAAAACCUACUGAAUCUUGAUAAACUCCGAAUUAUAUAAUAUAUUUCAUAGCAGUGAGAAUAUGGGUGCUAAGAUCCAUAUUCUAGAGGGAAACAGCCCAGAUCAUCAGAUAAGGUCCCUAAAUAUAUACUAAGUUGUUAAUAACGAAGUUUUAUAUCAUAAACAGCUAGAAUGUAAGCUUGGAAGCAGCUAUCAUUUAAAGAGUGCGUAACAGCUCACUAGUCUAGAUAUAAAGCGCGGAUAAUAAACGGGCAUAAGUAUAUUACCGAAUCUAUGAGUAUAAAAUAAAAUUUUAUACGGUAGAGGAGCAUUGUAUUUACAUAGAAGUAAUAUUGUAAAAUAUUAUGGAGUAUAUACAAAAGAAAAUGUAGGUAUAAGUAACGAUAAUAUAGGUGAAAAACCUAUACACCGUAAAACUAAGGUUUCCUCAGCAAUGUUAAUCAACUGAGGGUAAGUCGAUUCCUAAAAUGAAGCUGAAAAGCGUAAUUGAUGGAUAAUCGGUUAAUAUUCCGAUACUUGUUUAUUGUUUUUAUGAAGGGAUAACGAAGUGGUGAAACUAUUGCGUAAUAUUGGAUUGUUACGUUAAAAUAUAAAGGUAUAUAAAUAUAGUAAAAUGCGUAUUUAUGCCGAAAUAUAAUAGUACUAUUUAAAAUAGAUAAUAUAGGUAAUAGCUUCCAAGAAAAAUCUCUAAAUAUAUAUAAUAAACAAAUCGUACUAAAACCGACACAGGUAGUUGAGGAGAGAAUCCUAAGGUGCUCGAGUGAUUCACAGCUAAGGAACUAGGCAAAAUGAACUUGUAACUUCGGGAGAAAAGUUACCAAUUAAAUUGGUCUCAGUAAAAAGAUUCAGACGACUGUUUAUCAAAAACACAGGACUCUGCUAAAAUCGUAAGAUGAUGUAUAGGGUCUGACACCUGCCCGGUGCUGGAAGGUUAAAUUAGAUUGUUAAUAUAAUUUUUAUAAAAUUAUAUAAAGCUUUCGAAAUAAGCCCCAGUAAACGGCGGCCGUAACUAUAACGGUCCUAAGGUAGCGAAAUUCCUUGUCGGGUAAGUUCCGACCUGCACGAAUGGUGUAACGAUCUGAAUACUGUCUCUGCUGUGAGCUCGGUGAAAUUGUAAUAUCGGUGAAGAUACCGAUUACUCGCAAUGGGACGAAAAGACCCUGUGAACCUUUACUAUAACUUCGUAUUGAAUUUAAAUAAAUAAUGUGUAGAAUAGGUGGGAGACUAUGAAAUAUUAUCGUCAGGUAAUAUUGAGUCAUCAGUGAAAUACCACCCUUUAUUUAUUUUGAUUCUAACUAAUAUAAAAAAUAUUAGGACAAUGCGUGGUGGGUAGUUUGACUGGGGUGGUCGCCUCCUAAAAAGUAACGGAGGCUUCCAAAGGUGCUUUCAACACGGAUGGCAAUCGUGUGUAGAGUAUAAUGGCAUAUAAGCGCUUAACUGUAAGAUUUACAGAUCGAACAGAUACGAAAGUAGGGCAUAGUGAUCCGGUGGUUUCUGUAUGGAAAGGCCAUCGCUCAAAGGAUAAAAGGUACUCCGGGGAUAACAGGCUAGUCUCCCCCAAGAGCUCAUAUCGACGGGGAGGUUCGGCACCUCGAUGUCGGCUCGUCACAUCCUGGGGCUGUAGAAGGUCCCAAGGGUUGGGCUGUUCGCCCAUUAAAGUGGCACGCGAGCUGGGUUCAGAACGUCGUGAGACAGUUCGGUCUCUAUCUAUUGCGAGCGUAAGAAGUUUGAAGUGGCCCCGAUUCUAGUACGAGAGGACCGAAUUGGACGAGCCUAUGGUGCAUCAGUUGUAUCACCAGAUGCAUAGCUGAGUAGCUAAGCUCGUAAAAGAGAAGCACUGAAAGCAUAUAAAGUGCGAAACUUACCACAAGAUUAAACUUCUUUUAAGGAUAGUUGUAGACUACAACAUAUAUAGGCUAUAAGUGUACAAAUAGUAAUAUUUUUAGCUAAAUAGUACUAAUUAUCCGUAAUUACUAACUU
Molecule: ribosomal RNA, 2934 nt
Filed under: Candidatus Shikimatogenerans bostrichidophilus
Lineage: Bacteria; Pseudomonadati; Bacteroidota; Flavobacteriia; Flavobacteriales
Description: 23S ribosomal RNA
Rfam family: Bacterial large subunit ribosomal RNA
Source: RNAcentral